GCUCUAUCAGCCUAGGUAAAUGGCUGAGGCACGCCCGUUAGGAUGUGGGAUCCAUUGAGAAUUAAUGCCAUUUGGCUGCAGAUAGCACCACUAGCAGGUGGCACUGGCUGGCUGGAGGUCAGCUAAGUGACUUGCCGAUGGCCUCAAUUAUGCCCACCUAACAGUCAUUUACCCCGGGUCCUUAAGUCAGGUAGGUUCAUAACCUUGGGAACCCAAAGUAGGCCCACUUACUUCAAUCACUUAGCUUCAUAUACAAAGACACAGUAGGGUAACCUUGCCAUUUGUGUACACUUCACUAGCCAAGUAAGAAGCCCAACUACCCUCAGUACAACUAAUGACCUAGCACCUGAGGCAUACAUCUAUGUUUUGAGAUAGGGUAUCAUAGUCCUAUUGUUGUGCUGGGUGUUACUAGCUAUUUAGUGACCGUAGUCCCAUAAAAAUACCUUGUGGUUUCCGGAAACUUUCUAGGCUCCUUUUCUUUAGUCUGUUGCCAAUAAAGUGGUAGCUAGGAACACUCUAAACCAAAAUAAGACAUUUUGAAUCCUUAUAAUUAUGUUAUAUGCUUUCCCCUUUUCAUUCUUAUUCCCAAUAAGGUAUCUUUUUUCUAAUUUUAUUUCAUAGUUAAUGCAGAAUGAUUUGGGAUAAGCUAGUCACUAUAGAAUAUUGAUUGUUUGAGGAAUAAGUGGUGGAAAUCCCUUACUGGUGCUAUCUUUGUAAAAAUGAUGUGAAAUCUGUUAAUUAUUUUUUGUUAGCAUGAAUUUCUCUAUGAGAAUUACAGGGCAGAUGGAUGUAGUGUUUUGCUAAUUAGUGAGUGUGCCUGGAAAACAAAUAUUCCCUUAUAAUAAGUUGGAGACUUGAUUUCCUGUAGUUGCUUUUUUGUACAUUGAGAAUGGUGAUGAUUCAUAUUUUUUGAAAUGUUAUAUGUUAGCUCUAGGAUGAUAUAUGAUUAUUCACAUGAAUAUUUGAAAGAUUUUUGGUAGUACUGUUUUAUAAUUUGUUCUUAUCUGUUAUUACCACUUGUAGCAGGCGUAGAGUUGUUCCUUGGCACUGAAACAGUGAAAGUAGUUACAGCUUCCAAGACUCUUACUAGUGCACCUGGAGAAACCUAUAAGUAUGAAAUUUUGAUAAUUGCCACUGGCUCUAUAGUAUGUACUAAUUAUAUGAUAAAUCGUGAUUGUAUAUCCUCUAUUUAUUUUUCAAGCCGUAUAUUUUAUGAAAAGAAAUAGAGUUCUUACUAGCAACUAGGCUUGAUUUUUCUGUUUAAUUUGAUUCCGUCUCCCUCUAUGCAAUUUUUUUUAUGCAUUCUCUUUUGUAGGUCUUUAGGUUGUCUGACUUUUUUUUUCUAGGAAUUGAUGCCAAGAACAUCUUCUAUGUGUGAGAAAUUGAUGACGCUGACAAGCUUAUAGAAGCAAUUAUGGCAAAGAAGGAUGGAAAGGCUGAGAUUGUUAGAGGGGGAUACAUUGGUCUAGAGCUUAGUGCUAUAAUGAAGAUUAACAAUUUUGAUGUUACUAUAGUGUAUCUUGAACCAUGGUGCAGUAAGAUAGCCAUUUUAACUUCUCUUAUGGAAUCCUAGUAUUCAUUGAUUUAGAUUGAGACUAAUAUGGAAAUUAUAAAAUUAUCGAAGCUGAAAGCAGAAUACUUCUGCAUGCUUUUUUGGGAUCCAUAAAAUGGCUCUUCAUUGCAGUUAUGAGGGUUAUUAUGCCAAGAAAGGUGUCAAAAUUAUUAAGGGAAUAGUUUUAGUUGGGUUUUAUCUAAAUGCAAAUGGGGAGGUGAGUUCUUAGUCAAAUGUGACAAUAAAUGUAAUCUACAUUUGUCGAAAAGUGUCUCUUAUGGUCAAAUUGCAUCUUUGUUUAGGUGAAGGUUGGGAGGGUACUGGAUGCUGACAUUGUUGUUGUUGGUGUUGGGGGAAGACCUUACCACAUUAUUCAAAGGACAGGGAAUUUCUUCAGUGCCAUCCACUGCUCUAUCUCAGCCACCACAACCUUAAUUAACAAGUUUAACAAUCCAAUUUACAAGAAUUGCACUUGGUGAUAGCCGUGAUAGUAUUCUUUUCUAUUCCUUUCAAGAGGUUGUCUGAAUCUAUUUGCCAAGAGCUUGGCCUUUGCUUGGGCAGAUCGAAGGGUGAAGCAAAGAGCAUCAGUGACAUUUUAUGCUGUAGGAAAUUGGGGU
Long non-coding RNA from Macadamia integrifolia, 2169 nucleotides. RefSeq lists it as uncharacterized. Lineage: Eukaryota; Viridiplantae; Streptophyta; Magnoliopsida; Proteales; Proteaceae. The transcript is spliced from 3 exons. The record is from RefSeq and is a predicted model, not a curated record.